Molecule: non-coding RNA, 30 nt
Filed under: Mus musculus (house mouse)
Lineage: Eukaryota; Metazoa; Chordata; Mammalia; Rodentia; Muridae
Source: RNAcentral
UGUGCCAACCGUCGUUGAAAGCGUCAAGUG